GGUUCGAUCCUGGCCUGAUUGAACGCUGGCGGGAUGCUUUACACAUGCAAGUCGAACGGCAGCACGACUUCUGGUCUGGUGUGGCGAGAGUGGCGAACGGGUGAGUAAUGUAUCGGAACGUGCCUAGUAGCGGGGGAUAACUACGCGAAAGCGUAGCUAAUAUCAAAAGGUCAGUUCUUCGGGGGAAAGCGGGGGGACCUUCGGGCCUCGCACUAUUAGAGCGGCUGAUAUCGGAUUAGCUAGUUGGUGGGGUAACGGCUCACCAAGGCGACGAUCCGUAGCUGGUUUGAGAGGACGACCAGCCACACUGGGACUGAGACACGGCCCAGACUCCUACGGAGGCAGCAGGGGGAAUUGACAAUGGGGGAAACCCUUUAAUCAAGCCAUCCCGCGUGUGCGAUGAAGGCCUUCGGGCCAGCACUUUUUGGCAGGAAAGAAACGGCACGGGAUAAGACCGUGCAACUGACGGUACCUGCAGAAUAAGCACCGGCUAACUACGUGCCAAAGAGCGGUAAUACGUAGGGUGCAAGCGUUAAUCGGAAUUACUGGGCGGGAAGCGUGCGCAGGCGGUUCGGAAAGAAAGAUGUGGAAUCCCAGAGCUUAACUUUGGAACUGCAUUUAACUACCGAGCUAGAGGUCAGAGGGAGGUGGAAUCUGUGUAGCAGUGAAAUGCGUAGAUAUGCGGAGGAACACCGAUGGCGAAGGCAGCCUCCUGGGAUAACACUGACGCUCAUGCACGAAAGCGUGGGGAGCAAACAGGAUUAGAUACCCCCUGGUAGUCCACGCCCUAAACGAUGUCAACUAGCUGCUGGGGCCUUCGGGCUCGGUAGCGCAGCUAACGCGUGAAGUUGACCGCCUGGGGAGUACGGUCGCAAGAUUAAAACUCAAAGGAAUUGACGGGGACCUGCACAAGCGGUGGAUGAUGUGGAUUGUUCGAUGCAACGAAAACCUUUACCUACCCUUGACAUGUCUGGAAUCCUGAAGAGAUUUGGGAGUGCUCGCAAGAGAACCGGAACACAGGUGCUGCAUGGCUGUCGUCAGCUCGUGUCGUGAGAUGUUGGGUUAAGUCCCGGCAACGAGCGCAACCCCUUGUCAUUAGUUGCUACGAAAGGGCACUCUAAUGAGAUCUGCGACAAACCGAGGAAGGUGGGGAUGACGUCAAGUCCUCAUGGCUCCUUAUGUAGGGUCACAUACGUCAUACAAUGGUCGGGACAGAGGGUCGCCAACCCGCGAGGGGGAGCCAAUCCCAGAAACCCGAUCGUAGUCCGGAUCGCAGCUCCGUAACCCCACUGCGUGGGAAGUCGGAAUCGCUAGUAAUCGCGGAUCAGCAUGUCGCGGUGAAUACGUUCCCGGGUCUUGUACACACCGCCCGUCACACCAUGGAGUGGGGUUUUACCAGAAGUAGUUAGCUCAACCGUAAGGAGGGCGAUUACCACGGUAGGAUUCAUGACUGGGGUGAAGUCGUAACAAGGUAG
Molecule: ribosomal RNA, 1475 nt
Filed under: uncultured Bordetella sp.
Lineage: Bacteria; Pseudomonadati; Pseudomonadota; Betaproteobacteria; Burkholderiales; Alcaligenaceae
Description: partial 16S-23S ribosomal RNA intergenic spacer
Rfam family: Bacterial small subunit ribosomal RNA
Source: RNAcentral